CCUGGCUCAGAUUGAACGCUGGCGGCAUGCUUUACACAUGCAAGUCGAACGCGGGUGAGGGGCAACUCUCACCUGAGUGGCGAACGGGUGAGUAAUGCAUCGGAACGUACCUCGUAGUGGGGGAUAACGCCGGGAAACCGGCGCUAAUACCGCAUAUGCUCUGUGGAGGAAAGUGGGGGACCUGAGAGGGCCUCAUGCUAUGGGAGCGGCCGAUGUCCGAUUAGCUUGUUGGUGGGGUAAAGGCCUACCAAGGCGACGAUCGGUAGCUGGUCUGAGAGGAUGAUCAGCCACACUGGGACUGAGACACGGCCCAGACUCCUACGGGAGGCAGCAGUGGGGAAUUUUGGACAAUGGGGGCAACCCUGAUCCAGCCAUGCCGCGUGCGGGAAGAAGGCCUUCGGGUUGUAAACCGCUUUUGUCCGGGAAGAAAAGGCUCAGGUUAAUACCUUGGGUUCUUGACGGUACGAAGAAAAGCACCGGCA
RNAcentral lists this ribosomal RNA (482 nucleotides) under uncultured bacterium. RNAcentral's name for it is "bacterial SSU rRNA". It matches the Rfam family "Bacterial small subunit ribosomal RNA", at positions 18 to 498 of the family's 1533-position model. The record is from RNAcentral.